RNAcentral lists this ribosomal RNA (440 nucleotides) under uncultured bacterium. RNAcentral describes it as "partial 16S ribosomal RNA". It matches the Rfam family "Bacterial small subunit ribosomal RNA", at positions 338 to 795 of the family's 1533-position model. The record is from RNAcentral.
CCUACGGGAGGCAGCAGUAGGGAAUAUUGCUCAAUGGGGGAAACCCUGAAGCAGCAACGCCGCGUGGAGGAUGAAGGUUUUCGGAUUGUAAACUCCUUUUGGUAGGGAAGAUAAUGACGGUAUCUGACGAAUAAGCACCGGCUAACUCCGUGCCAGCAGCCGCGGUAAUACGGAGGGUGCAAGCGUUACUCGGAAUCACUGGGCGUAAAGAGCGCGUAGGCGGGAUAGCAAGUCAGAUGUGAAAUCCUAUGGCUUAACCAUAGAACUGCAUUGGAAACUGUUAUUCUAGAGUGUGGGAGAGGUAGGUGGAAUUCUUGGUGUAGGGGUAAAAUCCGUAGAGAUCAAGAGGAAUACUCAUUGCGAAGGCGACCUGCUAGAACAUAACUGACGCUGAUGCGCGAAAGCGUGGGGAGCAAACAGGAUUAGAUACCCUAGUAGUC